Molecule: ribosomal RNA, 975 nt
Filed under: uncultured bacterium
Lineage: Bacteria
Description: bacterial SSU rRNA
Rfam family: Bacterial small subunit ribosomal RNA
Source: RNAcentral
AGAGUUUGAUCAUGGCUCAGAACGAACGUUGGCGGCGUGGAUUAGGCAUGCAAGUCGAACGAAUCCCGGGGUAGCAAUACCUCGGGGGAAGUGGCGAAAGGGGCAGUAAUGCGUGGGUAACCUACCCCGGGGAUAGGCAUAGCCGGCCUAACGGCCGGGUAAUUCCCAGCGAUCUGGUUGGGGGGCAUCCUUCGACCAGGAAAUGAGUUUCGCCUCGGGAGGGACUCACGUCGUAUUAGCUUGUUGGCGGGGUAACGGCCCACCAAGGCAAGGAUGCGUAGCGGGUGUGAGAGCACGACCCGCGCCACUGGCACUGAGACACUGGCCAGACACCUACGGGUGGCUGCAGUCGAGGAUCUUCGUCAAUGGGCGCAAGCCUGAACGAGCGACGCCGCGUGCGCGAUUGAAGGCCUUCGGGUUGUAAAGCGCAAAAGGGGGGAACAAGGGGCAACCUUGAGUGAACCCCAGUAAGCUCGGGCUAAGUUCGUGCCAGCAGCCGCGGUAAGACGAACCGAGCGAACGUUGUUCGGAAUCACUGGGCUUAAAGGGCGCGUAGGCGGGCUCGCAAGUCUGUGGUGAAAUCCCCCGGCCCAACCGGGGAACUGCCGUGGAUACUGCGGGCCUCGAGCGAGGUAGGGGCGUGCGGAACUGAUGGUGGAGCGGUGAAAUGCGUUGAUAUCAUCAGGAACUCCGGUGGCGAAGGCGGCACGCUGGACCUCUUCUGACGCUGAGGCGCGAAAGCCAGGGGAGCAAACGGGAUUAGAUACCCCGGUAGUCCUGGCCCUAAACGAUGGGCACUAGGUAGUAGCCUUCACAUGGGGUUACUGCCGGAGCAAAAGUGCUAAGUGCCCCGCCUGGGGAGUAUGGUCGCAAGGCUGAAACUCAAAGGAAUUGACGGGGGCUCACACAAGCGGUGGAGCAUGUGCUUUAUUCGAGGCUACGCGAGAACCUUAUUCCCAGGCUUGACAUGUCCGA